Bacillus sp. MRMR6 is the source of this 91-nucleotide regulatory RNA element. It matches the Rfam family "pan motif". NCBI's taxonomy places the organism in Bacteria, Bacillati, Bacillota, Bacilli, Caryophanales, Bacillaceae. The record is from Rfam.
CGGGCGGUAUCCAUGUGAGCUGCACCUUUCUGUAGGAAAACUAACUAAAAAGGUUUCUGCCUAGAUCCGUAGUACGGACCGGGACAGAGGG